CGCCUCCCAAAAGGUAACGGAGGCGCUCAAAGGUUCUCUCAGUACGGUCGGAAAUCGUACGUAGAGUGUAAAGGCAAAAGAGAGCUUGAUUGCAAGACAUACAGGUCGAGCAAGGAUGAAAAUCGGACUUAGUGAUCCGGUGGUUCUGCGUGGAAGGGCCAUCGCUCAACGGAUAAAAGCUACCCUGGGGAUAACAGGCUUAUCUCCCCCAAGAGUCCACAUCGACGGGGAGGUUUGGCACCUCGAUGUCGGCUCAUCACAUCCUGGGGCUGUAGUAGGUCCCAAGGGUUGGGCUGUUCGCCCAUUAAAGUGGUACGCGAGCUGGGUUCAGAACGUCGUGAGACAGUUCGGUCCCUAUCCGUCGCAGGCGUAGGAAAUUUGAGAAGACCUGUCCUUAGUAC
Molecule: ribosomal RNA, 401 nt
Filed under: Clostridioides difficile
Lineage: Bacteria; Bacillati; Bacillota; Clostridia; Peptostreptococcales; Peptostreptococcaceae
Description: partial 23S ribosomal RNA
Rfam family: Bacterial large subunit ribosomal RNA
Source: RNAcentral